CUCCCAUUUUGAGUGCUGGUUAGUCAAUGAUGGGUAAGAUCCCCUGGGGGACAACCUAAGACAGGCACAGCCACGUACAGAGACCACAUGGAAACAGGGACAAGAAUGGUAUGGCCAAGAAUCAUGCCUCCCGUUGCUCAAAAACAAACGAAAAGGGGGAAAUGUGGUGGAAUGAGAAGGCUCUGCCAAGAUGGCCGCUGGCAACAGAAACUGCCUGGCAACAGGCCGUGGUUGGAUGGCUUUGGAAACCACAUGACAAUGGAGCCUGCCUGGCAACAGGCUGUGAUUGGAUGGCUUCAGAAACUGCCUGGCAACAGGGUGUGAUUGGUUAAGGCAUAGACCGCCCCUAGACCAGAUUGGCUGCCUUGGCUAUAUAAGCUGCUGUAGCAACUGAAAUAAACACUCCUGCAGGCUGCUCGCCUCAGGCCUGCUUUCACCUGACUCCCGUGGUUUGUGUGGUGACUCCGUGCCUCUUGCCCCCACCACGCUCCUCCUCUCAGAACAAAUCAACCUCAACAUCAGCCAAAGAGAAAGCUGCAUUUCUUUCUCACUAGCAGGACACUGCAACGUACAAACUGUUCAUCUUUGAAGACCCCAUUGCUCUUGUUAGUGCACUAUCAGGAAACUGGAUUGGAAGUGGAGCAUCUGGGGCUCGAACUUGCACUCUGAUACAGGAUGUGGUGUAGCCAACCCCUCAUUUCCUUAUUACUUUUGCUCUCUACCAUGGCUGGGAAAGCAGUAGAAGAUGGCCCAAGUUCAUGGACCCCUGCACCCAUGUGGGAGACCUAAAGGAAGCUCUUGGCUCCUAGCUUCAAAUCAAUGCAGCUCUGGCCUUUGCGGCCAUUUGGGGAGUAAACCAGCAAAUGGAAGAUAUCUCUCUCUCUCUCUCUCUCUCUCUCUCCUUCUGCCUCUCUGUAACUCUGCCUUUCAAAUAAAUAAAUAAAUCUAAAAAAAAAUUGCUGUGUUUACUAUGCUUUUUUUCACUCACAUUUAUCUCAAUCCAGAAAACAUAGUUCUAAUAUCAUUGGUUUCAUUUUGCUGCCAUCUAUAUCAACUUGGAUUAUGUUACACCAAUAUAAGUGUUGCUUUUAUAGCAUGAGUUCUGCCAGCCAGCUGUGACUGCUCACCCACCAAAAUAGCCUCCAGUACCCACAUGAGCCCGCC
Molecule: long non-coding RNA, 1164 nt
Organism: Oryctolagus cuniculus (rabbit)
Lineage: Eukaryota; Metazoa; Chordata; Mammalia; Lagomorpha; Leporidae
Source: RefSeq, a predicted model, not a curated record